RNAcentral lists this ribosomal RNA (950 nucleotides) under uncultured archaeon. RNAcentral describes it as "bacterial SSU rRNA". It matches the Rfam family "Archaeal small subunit ribosomal RNA", at positions 1 to 966 of the family's 1478-position model. The record is from RNAcentral.
UUCCGGUUGAUCCUGCCGGAGGUCACUGCUAUCGGGGUUCGAUUAAGCCAUGCGAGUUGAGAGGGUUCGGCCCUCGGCGUACUGCUCAGUAACACGUGGAUAACCUGCCCUAGGGGAGGGGAUAACCCCGGGAAACUGGGGAUAAUACCCUAUAGGUUACAGAUGCUGGAAUGCCCUGUAACCAAAAGCUCCGGCGCCCUAGGAUGGAUCUGCGGCCGAUUAGGUUGUUGUUGGGGUAACGGCCCAACAAGCCCGUAAUCGGUACGGGUUGUGGGAGCAAGAGCCCGGAGUUGGAUUCUGAGACACGAAUCCAGGCCCUACGGGGCGCAGCAGGCGCGAAACCUUUACAAUGCGGGCAACCGUGAUAAGGGAACCUCGAGUGCCUGUAAACGCAGGCUGUUCAGGUGUUUAAAACGCACCUGGAGAAAGGGCCGGGCAAGACCGGUGCCAGCCGCCGCGGUAAUACCGGCGGCUCGAGUGGUGGCCGCUUUUAUUGGGAUUAAAGCGUUCGUAGCUGGGUUGUUAAGUCUCUUGGGAAAUCUGGCGGCUUAACCGUCAGGCGUCUAAGGGAUACUGGCAAUCUUGGAACCGGGAGAGGUGAGGGGUACUUCGGGGGUAGGGGUGAAAUCCUGUAAUCCUCGAGGGGCCACCUGUGGCGAAGGCGCCUCACCAGAACGGCUUCGACAGUGAGGGACGAAAGCUGGGGGAGCAAACCGGAUUAGAUACCCGGGUAGUCCCAGCCGUAAACGAUGCGCGUUAGGUGUAUCGGUGACCACGAGUUACCGAGGUGCCGAAGGGAAACCGUGAAACGCGCCGCCUGGGAAGUACGGUCGCAAGGCUGAAACUUAAAGGAAUUGGCGGUGGAGCACCACAACGGGUGGAGCCUGCGGUUUAAUUGGAUUCAACGCCGGGAAUCACUAGUGCGGCCGCCUGCAGGUCGACCAUAUGGG